This 187-nucleotide antisense RNA is filed under the name Calothrix sp. 336/3. RNAcentral describes it as "Antisense RNA which regulates isiA expression". It matches the Rfam family "Antisense RNA which regulates isiA expression". Lineage: Bacteria; Bacillati; Cyanobacteriota; Cyanophyceae; Nostocales; Calotrichaceae. The record is from Rfam by way of RNAcentral.
AAUAACCAAAGAUGGUAGCAGGGUUUAAGGUGGGGUUAGUAAUCACACGAACAUCACCGCCACCGGGUGCCCAGGUGUCAUACAAACCACCAAAGAACAUAGCUUUCAAUACCAACAACAGGGCACCACAACCCAAGAUAAUGAGGUGGAAACCAAUAAUGUUGGUCAUCUUGUUCUUAUCUUUCCA